RNAcentral lists this ribosomal RNA (491 nucleotides) under uncultured Bacteroidota bacterium. RNAcentral's name for it is "bacterial SSU rRNA". It matches the Rfam family "Bacterial small subunit ribosomal RNA", at positions 381 to 872 of the family's 1533-position model. Lineage: Bacteria; Pseudomonadati; Bacteroidota. The record is from RNAcentral.
GUCUGAACCAGCCAUGUCGCGUGCAGGAAGACUGCCCUAUGGGUUGUAAACUGCUUUUAUACGGGAAGAAACCCACCUACGUGUAGGUGGCUGACGGUACCGUAAGAAUAAGCAUCGGCUAACUCCGUGCCAGCAGCCGCGGUAAUACGGAGGAUGCAAGCGUUAUCCGGAAUCAUUGGGUUUAAAGGGUCCGUAGGUGGAUUAAUAAGUCAGAGGUGAAAGCCUGCAGCUUAACUGUAGAACUGCCUUUGAUACUGUUAAUCUUGAAUUAUUGUGAAGUAGUUAGAAUAUGUAGUGUAGCGGUGAAAUGCAUAGAUAUUACAUAGAAUACCGAUUGCGAAGGCAGAUUACUAACAAUAUAUUGACACUGAUGGACGAAAGCGUGGGGAGCGAACAGGAUUAGAUACCCUGGUAGUCCACGCCGUAAACGAUGAUAACUAGUUGUUUGCAAUAGACCGUAAGCGACAAAGCGAAAGCAUUAAGUUAUCCAC